Molecule: long non-coding RNA, 337 nt
Filed under: Zalophus californianus (California sea lion)
Lineage: Eukaryota; Metazoa; Chordata; Mammalia; Carnivora; Otariidae
Description: lncRNA (ENSZCAG00015007177.1)
Source: RNAcentral
CUGAGAGCAGACCAUUCAAAUAAAUAUGGGGAGGUGUUACUUUAACCGUAUCGGAUGUGGCGUAGCGAGGAGAUGGUGGCUGCGUCCUGGAAUGGACCUUCAGCUGAUUUCUGAUGAACAUGUACUGUGAGCAAGAGAUCAAUCUUUGCUGAUUCACCGGAGCGUGGCUGAACGGACAGAUCCCGGCCGAAGAGGCACCUUCACUCUCAACGCUGGUUCUUGUCGGUAGAAUGCCAGGAUGGAAGCUUCUUCAUCACACCUACUUGACUUUUCUCCUUUUCUGCUGCUGCUUCUCUCAAAUUCGAAAUCUUUGGACUAAGAAUCUGUAAAAUAAAAC